This 691-nucleotide ribosomal RNA is filed under the name Cacotemnus rufipes. RNAcentral describes it as "eukaryotic LSU rRNA". It matches the Rfam family "Eukaryotic large subunit ribosomal RNA", at positions 646 to 1285 of the family's 3401-position model. Lineage: Eukaryota; Metazoa; Arthropoda; Insecta; Coleoptera; Ptinidae. The record is from RNAcentral.
GACCCGUCUUGAAACACGGACCAAGGAGUCUAGCAUGUGCGCGAGUCAUCGGGACCGCACUAAACCUAAAGGCGAAAUGAAAGUGAAGGUCCGCCUCGCGCGGACCGGGGGAGGAUCGGCCGGCGACCGCCAUACGGCGCCGCCGCGCACUCCCGGGGCGUCUCGAGCUCCUCGCGAGCGAGGCGCACCCAGAGCGUACACGCUGGGACCCGAAAGAUGGUGAACUGUGCCUGGUCAGGACGAAGUCAGGGGAAACCCUGAUGGAGGUCCGUAGCGAUUCUGACGUGCAAAUCGAUCGUCGGAACUGGGUAUAGGGGCGAAAGACUAAUCGAACUAUCUAGUAGCUGGUUCCCUCCGAAGUUUCCCUCAGGAUAGCUGGCGCUCAAUCGAGCGAGUCUCAUACGGUAAAGCGAAUGAUUAGAGGCAUUGGGUUCGAAACGGCCUCAACCUAUUCUCAAACUUUAAAUGGGUGAGAUCUCCGGCUUGCUCGAAUAAUUUUGAUGAAGCCGCGAGUAUCGGAUCAGAGUGCCAAGUGGGCCAUUUUUGGUAAGCAGAACUGGCGCUGUGGGAUGAACCAAACGCAGAGUUAAAGCGCCGAAAUCGACGCUCAUUGGAUACCAUGAAAGGCGUUGGUAACUUAAGACAGCAGGACGGUGGCCAUGGAAGUCGGAAUCCGCUAAGGAGUGUGUAA